UGGUGAAUGUGUAUUGGCGUUCUGCCAUGUUCCCCUGUAUAAGACGGCCAAGUGCUCAGUUUUUGGUCCAUGUUUUAUCUCAUGUGUGCUUUUCUUAUGGGUGUGAGGUCUUUUGUUCUACAAAUCUAUGGAGAAAGCAUCAGGUGAAAAGGUCAUUUAAUUCAUCAAGCUAGUUCUGUGAUUAGUACCCAGCCAGAGGUAACUGCUUAAAACCACCUGAGGAAAACAAGAUGUCAAAG
Molecule: non-coding RNA, 239 nt
Organism: Pelobates cultripes (western spadefoot toad)
Lineage: Eukaryota; Metazoa; Chordata; Amphibia; Anura; Pelobatidae
Source: the annotation of a GenBank genome assembly